UAAUACUGUGCUGCUUUUAUAAGUAUUUUCACAAUAGAUUUAAAGAUUGUUUCAUUGUCAUUUGUCCUAGGUUUUGUCUUCAGAUGGAAUAAUUUAUCUGUUACAUUAACAUUUGGAAGCAUGUUGAGUUAAUGCUGAGAUCAUGAAGAUUUACAGAAACCUCAUGUUUAGCCAUGUUUUGCAAACAACAGAGUUUUCCAGGAAACAUAAAGACUCCAGUCAUAUUUUGGCAAGAAGAGAGACCAUUAUGAUUAUUUGGGCAUCUGAGAGAAUUGUGGCAGGAAAUGUCAAACCCAGUUACUGCAAAUUUCCAGACAAACCUCUGAAUUCCAGGGUGGAGGAAACAAAGUAAACCUCUAGGUAUGUGUAUAGUAUUUAUAUCCUUGCUCUAUUCUCAAAAUGUCUAAAGGUUCUCAGGCAUG
RNAcentral lists this long non-coding RNA (422 nucleotides) under Phasianus colchicus (ring-necked pheasant). RNAcentral's name for it is "lncRNA (ENSPCLG00000020791.1)". Lineage: Eukaryota; Metazoa; Chordata; Aves; Galliformes; Phasianidae. The record is from RNAcentral.